GCACUACCUGGCACAACUAGUGUCAAAUCUGGGAGCUAGAAGUACAACAUUCUCAGGCAGAUAAUACAUCUGCUCCUGAUACCACAUUUCAGUAGUACUAAUUAUAUAUACUAUACAGCAGUGCAGCUGUGUAGUCAUACUGUCCUGUUACUAAAAUUCCUUUUUUCUCCCUUCUAAUUCUAUGAAAGAACCACAAAAACACACAUUAAUUAUCCAAGAAGCCUGAAGAUAAGUCAUGAACAAUCAAAGGCAGUUCUUGGCUAGGAGAUGUUUGUUGACACACAAACAUGCAAAGAACAGAAAGAAGAGAGUGAAAAGAAGAAAAUCAUCUCUUUAGCCAGCUAGGACAGCACUGUUGGUUUGCUCAUCCCUACAGUUUUUUAUUCCCAGGAAUGAAUUCCUGGGAAGGUUGGAGCGUAGCAAAGAGACGCCUGGUGAAUAGCUUUGGGAAUAAUAUUGGCCAGCAUCUCAAGAAACAGCAGCAAGUACCAAACUGUUCAGGCAAGAAGAGUCAGACAAGAGCCCAUACCAAUAAUACUCCUGAGAGACCUUGAACCUUCACCUGACUUAUUUCUCAGUACUCUCUGCUGUAAAAUGGGCAUAAUUAUACUAAUCUGCUUUGCAAAACUGCAAUGUUUUCAUUAGCUAAUAAGCCUCAAGUGUUUGGAGGUAACUCUUGGCUCACAUAAAAGGAGAGAACGUAUAUAAAAAGAGAGAGAACACAAAGGCAAUAAAGAUCUCAGACGAUCUGUUCAGAAUGAGAAGUUGCUCUCAAAUUAAAUGGGUGAGGCUUGUUUACAAAGAUAUUGGUGGUAUGAAAGAUUGACACCCAGUCUUGUCUUUGUGCCUUGCAGGAGCUCAUGCGGGGAGCUCCAGGAUUCGGGAACAAGCCAGCAGGUGGCUGUAGAUGCCAGCAGCUGCCCUGACAUGGGAGACGUUCACCCUGCCAGAGGAUACCCGGAGCAGGCUUACUGAAGUGGUUAACACCAGAUGUGAUUUAAGUGUCAUUGUUGACUCAUAUCCUGCACCCAGUGAGCAGGCUGGGGGUACACAAGGAGUUGGGAGGGGACACAACUGGCACAGCUGACCGCAACUGACCCAAGGGGUAUGCCAUACCAUGUAGCAUAUAGAGCUGGGGAGAGAAGAAGGAAGGGGAGGAUGUUCGGAGUGAUCACAUUUGUCUUCCCAAGUAAGCAUUACACAUGAUGGAGCACAGCUGGCCUGGAGAUGGCUGAACACUUUACUCCUGAUGGCAAGUAGAGAAUGAAUUCCUUGUGUUGCUUUGCUUGUGUGCAGGCCUUUUGCUUUACCUAUUGAACUGCCUUUAUCUCAG
Molecule: long non-coding RNA, 1333 nt
Organism: Neopsephotus bourkii (Bourke's parrot)
Lineage: Eukaryota; Metazoa; Chordata; Aves; Psittaciformes; Psittacidae
Exons: 3
Source: RefSeq, a predicted model, not a curated record